Molecule: ribosomal RNA, 163 nt
Filed under: Avena canariensis
Lineage: Eukaryota; Viridiplantae; Streptophyta; Magnoliopsida; Poales; Poaceae
Description: 5.8S ribosomal RNA
Rfam family: 5.8S ribosomal RNA
About the family: 5.8S ribosomal RNA (5.8S rRNA) is a component of the large subunit of the eukaryotic ribosome. It is transcribed by RNA polymerase I as part of the 45S precursor that also contains 18S and 28S rRNA.
Source: RNAcentral
ACACGACUCUCGGCAACGGAUAUCUCGGCUCUCGCAUCGAUGAAGAACGUAGCGAAAUGCGAUACCUGGUGUGAAUUGCAGAAUCCCGCGAACCAUCGAGUCUUUGAACGCAAGUUGCGCCCGAGCCAUCUCGGCCGAGGGCACGCCUGCCUGGGCGUCACGC